AUUUGUCUGGUUAAUUCCGAUAACGAACGAGACCUUAACCUGCUAACUAGAUACUUUUAUUCUAUAAAUGAUAUCUUCUUAGAGGGACUAUGUAAUAAAAAUACAUGGAAGUUUGAGGCAAUAACAGGUCAGUGAUGCCCUUAUAUGUCCUGGGCUGCACGCGUGCUACACUGAUGCAUACAACAAGUGCCUAACCAGACAUGGUACGGCAAUCUCGAAUAUGCAUCGUGAUGGGGAUAGAUCUUUGCAAUUAUAGAUCUUGAACGAGGAAUUCCUAGUAAGUGCAAGUCAUCAUCUUGCAUUGAUUAUGUUCCUGCCCUUUGUACACACCGGCCGUCGCUCCUACCGAUACCGGGUGAUCCGGUGAACCUUUUGGACUUAUUUGGGAAAGAUAAGUAAACCAUAUCACCUAUAGGAAGGAGAAGUCGUAACAAGGUUUCCGUAGGUGAACCUGCRGAAGGAUCA
RNAcentral lists this ribosomal RNA (465 nucleotides) under uncultured ciliate. RNAcentral's name for it is "SSU rRNA". It matches the Rfam family "Eukaryotic small subunit ribosomal RNA". The record is from RNAcentral. Lineage: Eukaryota; Ciliophora.